Molecule: long non-coding RNA, 2117 nt
Organism: Peromyscus eremicus (cactus mouse)
Lineage: Eukaryota; Metazoa; Chordata; Mammalia; Rodentia; Cricetidae
Exons: 5
Source: RefSeq, a predicted model, not a curated record
GAAUACAUUUUCUCGUCUCUCAUCUAGAAGCUUCCCACAUGACUUUGCUCAUGACUCCUUUCCUUCUGACACACAGCUAACAUGUGUUGUGAAGUCUUCCUUUACACUGUGUGAAGAUAUGUCCAUGUGGUUGGUUUAGUUAAAAAGCUAAAUGACCAAUAGGUAGGCAGGAUUUUCAGGGCAGACAGAAUGCUGAGAAAAAGAAAGAGGAGUCCCGAGGAGACUCGGAGGAAACAUGACAUGUAGGAGAUGAGAGCACUGAUGACCACCCAUCACCCCGUCUGUCUCUGAGGAAGCUGCCACGCUGAUAGUCAAUAAUGCCUGGGAAACAGACAGAUGAUGGGCCCUUUUAGUCCCAUUCUUUCCUCCUGGCAUCUAUCACUCCUUUUCUUCAACGUAAUGUGACUAAGGAAAUGACACACAGAGAGACCAAGCACGUUGAUCUAGUCCAAACAACAAAGUAGGAACAAGACAAAACCCUCCACUCCGAAUUCUACGUUUCUUCUCAUAAAACAGCUUCCUGAAUUUUCAGUAUUAUAAAUCCAUGAUUAGAGUACAGAUUUUUCCCAGCAAAGCCCUUCUGUGCAAAACUCUGGAGCCACCAACACCUUUCCAGAUGAAAUGAGAAGGUUCAAAAAGCUGCAAUUCAGAGAGGUGCGCUGAGAAAACAUCUUUGAGGAAGAUUUAAGUUACCAGGAUUCUUAGCCUGGAGGAAAUGGCUGUGGGGUAAUUGUCUGCAAUUGUUUUUCACAGACUUCACAGAGAGCUGACUCAAGGAAGACAAUGGGGGCUAUUUUGUAAGGAAAAGUAAAAAGGAGAAAGAAGAGAGAGAGAGAGAGAGAGAGAGAGAGAGAGAGAGAGAGAGAGAGAGAGAGAGAGAACAAAGAAAACUCAGUCCAAAUACCACGAGAGAGAUUUGGGGAGAACUGCGUAUGAACUUUAUAGGAACAGCAAAGACACUCUUCUUUAAAGCUUUAAGAUAAAAGACACACGGUCUCUGCAUCCUUAGCCCUUCUUCAGGGGGAGAAUUAAUGAAGAGUUUACAGUGAGAGCAGCACACAAUGAACUCUCUUUCAAACAGGGGGAAACACUGGUCCAUGUGAAUUAAAGACUAAGGUGUGUAGACCACAGGCGUCUCUGGAUUCACAGGUUUGCAUUAAAGCCAAGGGCCUUUUGUCUCUUUAAUUUUAUUAUUUUAUUUUAUUGUAUUUGUACAUGGACAUGUUCAUAUGUGUGUGCAUGUGUGGAGGUCAGAAAUCAGUGUCAAGUGUCUUCCUUCUAUUACUGUCCACCCUAUUUUUUGAGACAGGGUCUCUCACCGAGGCUGGAGCUCAUGAUCUAGGCUUGACUUGCUGGCUGAGGAGUUUCUGGAAUCUACCUGUCUCCACCAUCAGCUCCUCCACGCCCUCAUCACUGGAGUUACAGGCAUGAACAGCCAUGCACGGCUUUUAAGAGGGUGCUGGGAUUUGAACUUGGGUCUUCAUGCUUGUCCAGCAAGCACUUUACUGACUGAGCAAUGAUAUUUCCAGGCCCUAUUUUGUCUCUUUCCAAUGUUCACCUUGCUCAGCUUUGUUGUCUCAAACAUCUGCAUUCACACAAGGCCUGGCCAUGGACCACUCCCAGGCCUGGAGAGAUCUUCUCAGACAAGCUGGGUUGAGUGACCACCCCACGGCAGAGGCAGGGAAAACUUUGCUGGCAGGACCCAGAAUUCCCUUGGAGUACGGGGAGACAACACAGACAAAAAGAUAUUUCUCUGGCAACAGCAACGAACAAACAAAAAUGUUUUUGAAGUCUGCUGAGGCGCUGUAACAGUCACAAGUUGAGUUGUGUAAGCACAUUGCCAAAGCUGUGAGGAGAAGUCUAGAUCGAGUCUUAAGCGAUGAGAAAGGAACCUCGUAUCUGCUACAGACUCUCUACCUGAUGACAAAGGCCAAUUGUGUGCUGUGUCCUCCUCCGGCCUUUGCUCACUGGGUGUCCGGGGAGAGAAGGGAUGCUCUCUUUCUCUGUUGGAGUGUGAACCCACCUCUGUGACUUAAUUUAACCUUAAGUACCUCCUAAAAGGCCCGUCUCUAAUCAUACUGGCGUUUGGGUUCCAGUUUCAACCUAUAAAUUUUGGA